GGUCUAGUGGCGAACGGGUGCGUAACACGUGAGGAACUUACCCCGGUCUCUGGGAUAACAGUUGGAAACGACUGCUAAUACCGGAUGCCGUCGCAGCAUCGCAUGGUGCAGUGACGAAAGGGCUACCGGACCGGGAGAGCCUCGCGGCCUAUCAGCUAGUUGGUGGGGUAAUGGCCUACCAAGGCAUCGACGGGUAGCUGGUCUGAGAGGAUGAUCAGCCACACUGGGACUGAGACACGGCCCAGACUCCUACGGGAGGCAGCAGUGGGGAAUCUUGCGCAAUGGGCGAAAGCCUGACGCAGCAACGCCGCGUGCGGGAAGAAGGCUCUCGGGUUGUAAACCGCUUUCAGUAGGAACGAAAAUGACGGUACCUGCAGAAGAAGGUGCGGCCAACUACGUGCCAGCAGCCGCGGUGACACGUAGGCACCAAGCGUUGUCCGGAUUUAUUGGGCGUAAAGAGCUCGUAGGCGGUUCAGUAAGUCGGGUGUGAAAACUCUGGGCUCAACCCAGAGAGGCCACUCGAUACUGCUGUGACUUGAGUACGGUAGGGGAGCGGGGAAUUCCUGGUGUAGCGGUGAAAUGCGCAGAUAUCAGGAGGAACACCGGUGGCGAAGGCGCCGCUCUGGGCCGAAACUGACGCUGAGGAGCGAAAGCGUGGGUAGCAAACAGGAUUAGAUACCCUGGUAGUCCACGCCGUAAACGUUGGGCACUAGGUGUGGGCUCUAACCAACGGAGUCCGUGCCGUCGC
RNAcentral lists this ribosomal RNA (748 nucleotides) under uncultured bacterium. RNAcentral's name for it is "bacterial SSU rRNA". It matches the Rfam family "Bacterial small subunit ribosomal RNA", at positions 89 to 852 of the family's 1533-position model. The record is from RNAcentral.